CCCGCCGCUACGUGAGUGCCACCGGCGGAGCUGGCCGGGACGCUGUGCCCUCGCUCGGCUCUCUCCGCCCCCCGCGCGGGCCGCGGGCUGCGCUGGGUCGCGGCGGGCCCCGCAGGCGGCCAUGGCGGCGGGCGCCGGGGCCAGGCCGGCGCCGCGCUGGGUGAAGGCGCUGGGUGAGCCGCUCAGCGCGGCGCAGCUGCGGCGGCUGGAGGAGCACCGCUACACCGCGGUCGGGGAGUCGCUGUUCGAGCCGCCGCUGCAGCUUUACUGGACCUGGCUGCUCCAAUGGAUCCCGCUCUGGAUGGCCCCCAACACCAUCACCCUCAUCGGCCUCGCCAUCAACCUGCUCACCACUCUAGUGCUCAUCUUCUACUGCCCUACGGUCACGGAGGAGGCACCAUACUGGACGUACUUUUUAUGCGCCCUGGGACUCUUCAUCUACCAGUCACUGGAUGCCAUUGAUGGGAAGCAAGCCAGAAGGACAAACUCUUGUUCUCCUCUAGGGGAACUGUUUGAUCAUGGCUGUGACUCUCUCUCCACGGUAUUUAUGGCCAUCGGCGCUGCGGUUGCUGUUCGCCUGGGGACGCACCCUGACUUGUUGUUCUUCUGCUCCUUUAUCGGGAUGUUUCUGUUUUACUGCGCUCACUGGCAAACCUACGUCUCAGGAGUCUUGAGAUUUGGAAGAGUGGAUGUAACUGAGAUUCAGGUAGCUUUAGUGGUCAUCUUUAUAUUGUCUACAUUUGGAGGAGCAACAAUGUGGGACUAUACGAUACCUAUUCUAGAAAUAAAACUGAAGAUCUUUCCAGUUCUUGGAGUAGUGGGUGGAGCAAUCUUUUCCUGUUCAAAUUAUUUCCAUGUGAUCCUCCAUGGUGGUGUUGGCAAGAAUGGAUCUACUAUCGCAGGUACCAGUGUCUUGUCACCUGGACUCCACAUAGGAUUAAUUAUUAUAUUGGCAAUAAUGAUCUAUAAAAAGUCUGCAACAAAUGUGUUUGAAAAACACCCUUGCCUUUAUACCUUAAUGUUCGGAUGUGUCUUUGCUAAAGUUGCACAAAAAUUGGUGAUAGCCCACAUGACGAAAAGUGAACUGUAUCUUCAAGACACUGUCUUUGCUGGUCCAGGUCUUUUGUUUUUAGACCAAUACUUUAAUAAUUUUAUAGAUGAAUAUAUUGUUCUAUGGAUAGCAAUGGUCAUUUCUUCAUUUGAUAUGAUGAUAUACUUUUGUUCUUUGUGCCUGCAAAUUUCAAGACACCUUCAUCUAAGUAUCUUCAAGACUUCAUGUCAACAAGCACCUGAACAGGUUCACAAGCAUAUUGACUGACUAGUAGCCCAAGGAAAAGAGGAGAAGCAGUUAGGGGAACCUAUGUGUGAAGGAAACCCCCCUAUGCAGGAGGUUCAAGUUCUUUCUUCAAAGACUCAUCAGAAUAACAUGGAUUGAAGAGACUUUCGAACAUUUGCCAUCUCUUGUUGCUGCUGUUUCAUGAAAGGAGAUAUGAAAAAUGUUUAAUUUUUAGUUAAAUGUUAUAAAAGUUUCAGCAAAUAAAACAUUUCAGUGCCUCCAUUAAUCCCUAUCUUUACAAUUUAAAAUAGAACUUACAGUUUCCAUCAUAACUUUUUUUUGCAACAUAGCCAUUUCUUUUUUAAGUUCACUUUGUGUGCCAGUAAACAGGUUAUCAUUAUUUUUCUCCACUUCCUCCAAACUCUAAAACACAAAAAAGCCACUUUGGUUAAUAAACUGUAACUUUUAAUCGUAGGUUCUCCAAACUGUAAUUUCAAAAGUAAAAAUCUUACUUAGAAUGUUGGGGUAAAUAAUGAGCAUUAUUUGAGUAAUUCAUAUAUACCAAAUUUCUACCAUAAACAAGUAAAAUAUAUCACGCAUUAAUCAAUGCAAUUACUACAUGAAGUACAAUAGUACCAUCUACCUUUGGCCAAAACAAUAGUUUAAUGAAAUAUUAAGGUCAAGAUGAUGAAAAGAAAAAAUGGGGGCAGGAACUAGCCAAGAUGGGAGAAUUUCAGGCUAGUUCUGGGCAACAUUAAGAUCCUAUCUCAAAAGAAGAAAAAAAAAAUCCAGAAGUAGAAAACAGUAGAAAUUUUCAAAAUGGUCUAUCACUGUUUCUACUAAGUUUCUUAAAACAGCUGUGUAUAAUCUACAGACUUCUACAAAAGAGAAAGAAAUAUCUGUAGCAUGAAGUCAUUUCUCAAGUUGUAAAAAUUAUAUAUUUUUAAAAUUGUUUAUUACAUUCCAUUCACUCAAUGUGUAUGUUGUGCAUGUCUCACACAUACAUGAGCCACUAUAUGUAGAGGACAAUGUGUGGGUGUUGGGUUUUCUUCUGUCAUAUGGGUCCUAGAGAUUGAACUCUGCCCUAGUAUUUUGUUUUUUUCUGGACAGGAUCUCAAUAUAUAGGCACAGCUCACCUCAAACUCCCUAAUCCUGCCUCAGGCUCCCCCCUCUACUGGAAUUAGAGGGAUGUGCUAUAACAGCUAAUGAAAAAGGUUAAAAUUCUGAAAUAGUCAUUUAACAAAUAGUUAUUCUAUUGCCUACUAUGUAAAAAGUACUACGUUCUGUGGAGAAACUAAAAGUAACAUGUUUGUUUCAAGUAGAAAAAUUAUGGAAAUGCAACUUCUGUAGCUAUAUAGUGGAACGCAUGAAUAUUCCUGCUUAGCUGACAAAAAGUACACUAUUUCAUUAACUAAAAGGGAACUUAAAAUAUUCUAGAGGAAUAGUAUAACUGAAGCAGGGAAAAAGUCUGUGGAUUCAGAGAGCAAUUAUGUAGAGUUUGGAGUAAUGGACAUAUAGUCUGUGAAGCUUAAAAAGAAUCAUGCCAGGCAAUGAUGGCACACGCCUUUAAUCCCAGGACAUAAGGAUCCCCCUGUGAGUUUGAGGCCAGGCUGGUCUACAGAUCAGGUUCCAGGACAACCAGGGCUGUUGUUACACAGAGAAACCCUGUCCUGAAAAACCCAAAAUAAAAAAUUAUGUCAAGGGGAAUUCUAAAUACCUAAAACUUUAGAACAGGAGACUGCAGGCACAUUUUCAGGAAGGAGGUUUUAGAAAGAUAAUAUGGCAGAUUCGAAGAAUGAUAUGAAGAGAAUCAGUUAAAAGUUUUAAUAGGACAGAGGGUGAUAAGAGAAACAGUACAAGCAGAGAAUGAACAAAUGUAAUAGAAAUUAAAGAUAUCACUUGCAAGAGUAAGAAUUCUAGAACAAUAUAACUGUAACAAUAUAAAAUAUAAAAAAAUAUGGAGAACAUGGCUUGGUGAUGCACACCUUUAAUCCCAGAAUUUGGAAGUAAGGCAAGAGGAUAUGAGUUUGAAGCCAGCCUAGUCUACAUGGCAAGUUCCAGGCUAGCCAGACUAUACAGUGAGCCCUGUUCUCAAACACAAAAACAAAAUACAGCAAAACAAAAGCAUGUUACCAUGUAUAACUCACCUUUACAAACUGCUCAUGUAGCUGUUUGAUCGCUUUCAGUCUCUGGUUCUGAACAAUUCUAGACUGCUGAAAAAUCUUCUGUUGUUGUCGAAAAAGGUUCUAUAAACAUUAAAAUAAAAUGCCUGUAAUAAUGAUUUGGUAAAAGUGUUUUUGCUAUUAUGAGCUUCAUG
Chionomys nivalis (European snow vole) is the source of this 3593-nucleotide RNA transcript. It is a transcript of the gene named choline phosphotransferase 1, with no coding region annotated. NCBI's taxonomy places the organism in Eukaryota, Metazoa, Chordata, Mammalia, Rodentia, Cricetidae. The record is from RefSeq and is a predicted model, not a curated record. The transcript has 9 exons.